This 535-nucleotide ribosomal RNA is filed under the name uncultured delta proteobacterium. RNAcentral describes it as "bacterial SSU rRNA". It matches the Rfam family "Bacterial small subunit ribosomal RNA", at positions 9 to 523 of the family's 1533-position model. Lineage: Bacteria; Deltaproteobacteria. The record is from RNAcentral.
GAGUUUGAUCCUGGCUCAGAACGAACGCUGGCGGCGUGCUUAACACAUGCAAGUCGAACGCGAAAGGGACUUCGGUCCUGAGUAAAGUGGCGCACGGGUGAGUAACGCGUGGAUAAUCUACCCAAUGGUCUGGGAUAACAUUUCGAAAGGGGUGCUAAUACCGGAUAAGACCACGGAGUCUCUGGACUCUGCGGUAAAAGGUGGGGACCUUCGGGCCUACCGCAAUUGGAUGAGUCCGCGUACCAUUAGCUAGUUGGUAGGGUAAAGGCCUACCAAGGCUACGAUGGUUAGCUGGUCUGAGAGGAUGAUCAGCCACACUGGAACUGAGACACGGUCCAGACUCCUACGGGAGGCAGCAGUGGGGAAUUUUGCGCAAUGGGGGAAACCCUGACGCAGCAACGCCGCGUGAGUGAUGAAGGCCUUCGGGUCGUAAAGCUCUGUCAGAGGGGAAGAAAUGCGGGGUGCUAAUAUCACUUCCGCUUGACGGUACCCUCAAAGGAAGCACCGGCUAACUCCGUGCCAGCAGCCGCGGUAA